Carcharodon carcharias (great white shark) is the source of this 1576-nucleotide RNA transcript. It is a transcript of the gene named transcription elongation factor A (SII), 2, with no coding region annotated. The transcript has 13 exons. NCBI's taxonomy places the organism in Eukaryota, Metazoa, Chordata, Chondrichthyes, Lamniformes, Lamnidae. The record is from RefSeq and is a predicted model, not a curated record.
UGGGGUAAGCGCCAUAUACAAGAAGCAAAGCUGAGCGUAGAGACUGGGAGCUUGGCUCUUUGGUACCGAUGAUUGCGGCCAUUGUCUCAUUUCCCUUUUAGCUUAGCGAAACAAGACAAAAAAAAAUCUAAAGAAAAUAAUGGGAAAGUUGGAGGAAAUCGUGCGCAUCGCCAAGAAGAUGGAUAAGAUGGUGUCCAAGAAAAACACGAAUGGUGCUAUUGAUUUACUGAAGGAACUUAAAAGCAUACCCAUGACUUUGGAUCUGUUGCAGUCCACGCGGGUUGGGAUGUCUGUGAACGCUGUUAGAAAACAAAGCACGGAUGAAGAAGUCACAACACUUGCUAAGUCACUCAUCAAAUCAUGGAAAAAACUGCUAGAUGGCCCAGCAGGAGAUAAAGAUGCUGAAGACAAGAAAAAAGAAUGUUCAACUUCCUCCAAGAGCAGUUCAGACUCAACAGAGCAAAGCUCUAGUAAGAGACAAGAACCAAGGACACCCACUACUCCAAAGAUGACCACAUUUCCACCAAUUCCUGUUACGAGUGAUACUGUCCGCAAUAAGUGUAGAGAAUUGUUGUCGGCUGCUCUCCAAACAGACAUUGAGGCGGCUCUUCAAGAUCCUGGAAGAGACACAGAAAAAAGGUGCAGGAUUUUGACUGUGGAACUAGCUGUUUGCUCAUGGCAUUGCACAGGGACAAGUACAGAACAUUCAGCUUCUGACUUUAAUUGCAUCUCGAUUGCAGAUGAUUAUGUUGCAAUAGGAACUGACUGUGACCAUAUGGCAGCGCAGAUUGAAGAAAUUGUAUUCCAAGAGAUGGGCAAUACAGAUAUGAAAUAUAAAAACCGAGUGAGAAGCAGGAUAGCUAACCUAAAAGAUACAAAGAACCCCAACUUAAGGAAAAAUGUUCUCUGUGGAAAUAUUUCAGCAGAACAGAUUGCAAGAAUGACUGCUGAGGAAAUGGCAAGUGAUGAACUGAGAGAGAUUCGGAAGGCCUUAACAAAUGAAGCUAUCAGAGAACACCAGAUGGCCAAGACUGGUGGUACUGAAACUGCCCUCUUCACUUGUGGAAAGUGCAAGAAGAAGAACUGUACAUAUACACAGUAACUGAAACUCUGGAUGAAGAGGCUCUUAGUUUGCUUUUGUUCAAACACGGAGUGCUGAUGAACCCAUGACUACGUUUGUUUUUUGCAAUGAAUGUGGUAACAGAUGGAAGUUCUGUUAAUAAAUAUUCAGAUGACCAUUGUUGGUAGAUGCAGCUGGACCAAUAUAUGAAGUACCUAAAUUAUAAAGGAUCAUCAUGUAUAUUAAACCUCACAUUUUGUUACAUAUAUUGUUGUAAAGUAAAUAAUCUUUGCAAGUAUUCUCCUUUGAAACUCAGUUGAAGUAAUCUAAAAUUAUAUCCUAAUUGAGAGUCUUUGUUAAUUAAUGCAUUGUAUGGUACGACGAGUUGCAUUUCACUUCAACGUGUUUUAAGACUUCUUUAUAUAAUUUAGGUUUCGAUAAUGAAAUGCUAUUGCUAGUAUGGAUUGGAUAUAUUGAGAUCAUUUUUAAUUAAAGUGUGAUGAUUGUUCACAGCAA